This 429-nucleotide ribosomal RNA is filed under the name Gemmatimonadota bacterium. Its description in RNAcentral is "Gemmatimonadetes bacterium partial 16S ribosomal RNA". It matches the Rfam family "Bacterial small subunit ribosomal RNA", at positions 355 to 776 of the family's 1533-position model. Lineage: Bacteria; Pseudomonadati; Gemmatimonadota. The record is from RNAcentral.
UAGGGAAUCUUCGGCAAUGGACGAAAGUCUGACCGAGCAACGCCGCGUGAGUGAAGAAGGUUUUCGGAUCGUAAAACUCUGUUGUUAGAGAAGAACAAGGACGUUAGUAACUGAACGUCCCCUGACGGUAUCUAACCAGAAAGCCACGGCUAACUACGUGCCAGCAGCCGCGGUAAUACGUAGGUGGCAAGCGUUGUCCGGAUUUAUUGGGCGUAAAGCGAGCGCAGGCGGUUUCUUAAGUCUGAUGUGAAAGCCCCCGGCUCAACCGGGGAGGGUCAUUGGGAGCUGGGAGACUUGAGUGCAGAAGAGGAGAGUGGAAUUCCAUGUGUAGCGGUGAAAUGCGUAGAGAUAUGGAGGAACACCAGUAGCGAAGGAGGCUCUCUGGUCUGUAACUGACGCUGAGGCUCGAAAGCGUGGGGAGCAAACAGG